UACGGAGGGUGCGAGCGUUGCUCGGAAUCAUUGGGCGUAAAGCGUACGCAGGCGGCUCCAUAAGUCGGGUGUGAAAGCCCAGGGCUCAACCCUGGAAAUGCGCCCGAAACUGUGGAGCUUGAGUGCGGGAGAGGGAAGCGGAAUUCCUGGUGUAGAGGUGAAAUUCGUAGAUAUCAGGAGGAACACCGGUGGCGAAAGCGGCUUCCUGGCCCGACACUGACGCUCAUGUACGAAAGCGUGGGGAGCAAAC
RNAcentral lists this ribosomal RNA (250 nucleotides) under uncultured bacterium. RNAcentral describes it as "partial 16S ribosomal RNA". It matches the Rfam family "Bacterial small subunit ribosomal RNA", at positions 524 to 773 of the family's 1533-position model. The record is from RNAcentral.